Molecule: long non-coding RNA, 2440 nt
Filed under: Sus scrofa (pig)
Lineage: Eukaryota; Metazoa; Chordata; Mammalia; Artiodactyla; Suidae
Description: lncRNA (ENSSSCG00005013316.1, ENSSSCG00040041894.1, ENSSSCG00050029290.1)
Source: RNAcentral
AGAUGAACGUUUUCAUGUAUUUAAAUUUGUCUAGACUCCUAACUCUGUGUGUCAGUGUUAUGAUUAGUCCUUCUUAACACUUGUCUUCUACUAAAUGUGUGGAAAAUAUGUUUCCUAUUGUUAGUGACUCAGUAGUGUUUACUAAAGAAUUGCAUUAUCUGAGAAAGUUUCAAUAAUAAAGAAAAUUCACAUGAACAUUUCCUGGUUAUUUAUUUGUAUAAAAACAGCAAAUACCUUAUAAAACCAAAAGAAGAAAAUCUUUUUAAAAAUUAAUUUGGGGCAUUAUUCAUAUAAGCUAUUAUUUUCUAGCAUUUUACCAGUUUAUUAUUUGAAUUACCAAUGAUGCAUUUUCUUACACUGACUACUUUUUUAAGAGCUUUUAAUGUGUCUCCUUUUCCCUCUUUUUUCUGACAUUUGCUCCUACCAUAUCAUUUCUGUUUAUCUAACACUAAGCAGGUGUCUUAGGAAAUAACCCAAUAUCACCUUGUAAAAGAAGUCCUACAGUAGCCUUAUGUUAAUAACAUUCCUUCUGUCUUGUUAACAAGAUAAUGAGGGGGGGUUAAACUCUAAAAAUUAUAUUCAGGAAUUCCCGUCAUGGCCCAGUGGAAACGAAUCCAACUAGGAACCAUAAGGUUGCGGGUUUGAUCCAUGGCCUCGCUCAGUAGGUUAAGGAUCCGGCAUUGCCAUGAGCUGUGGUGUAGUUCUCAGACACAGCUUGGAUCUGGCAUUGCUGUGGCUGUGGCGUAGGCCGGCAGCUACAGCUCCCAUUAGACCUCUAGCCUGGGAACCUCCAUAUGCUGGGUGUCCUAAAAAGACAAAAGUCAAAAAUAAAAUAAAAUAAAAAUUAUAUUCAUAUUCUCCCUCUCUCUCUCUCUCUCUCUUUCUCUCUCUCUCUCUCUCUCUCUCUCUCUUUCUCUCCCUCACACACACACACAUAUUUGAGAACAUUAAAGCCCCAUUUCAGCAACCAAGUUCUUGCAUGCCACCUCAAGUAUAGUUUGGCAACUGCGGAAACAUAUAACACAUUGCCUAUUUCUUCCUCUUUGCUUUUGCCCAAUAGCUUUUGACUUGCAAGGAGUCUUCAAUUUGCUGCACAAUUAGCCUACAUUCAGUUCAGUUUCAAGGAUCCCCUUGGAUGCUUUAGUGGUAUGUUUAAUAGCCUGUUGGCCUUGUAGAUUCUAAUGCAUUUCAUAUUACUUAUCUCUUAGUUGUCCCAGUAUAAUAUGCCAGGUGAAAUUCCAUUUGUUCACCAAUUUUGUAGAAAUGUUUCCCAAUUGAUGUGCACCUGUGGCUUAUUUCCCUAGGUUGGAAAACCCUGAACUGGAAGGAGUAUGGAGUAUGAUGCUUUUUCUUAGUACAUUCUUGGUAGUAAGAUGGCUCUAAAUAUGCGGAUGAAUAUAGUGUGUUUCUACAAUAAUGAGUCUCUGGGAAAUCCCAUUUAAUUUGAGAUAUGAGCAGCAAAGAUAACAGUAAUAGCAUAAACAGAAACUUCUCAGAACUUUUAAGGACAAAAUCUCAGGCAACUCCUAAGAAUUAAAAUGAUUUUGGCUAUAAGUAGCAGAAAUCCAGACUCUAUAAGUGAUGUCACUGGACUGGAAGUUCAACUGUGGAGUGGGCUUCAGGGCAGAGUGAAGCAAGGUCAUUGAGGACCCAGGUGUCUUCUUUCUUUCUGCUCUAUAAUUCUUAGCAUGGCUUUAUCCUCAGUGUAGUAACAAGAUGGCUGACCUAGUUGUCAUAUCUACAUCCAGUAAUGCCCAGGGGACAUUCCUAUGGCUAUCCCAUAGAAAAAGGAAUUCUCCCUUACCCCUGGGAAUAAUUCCCAUUACACUUCAGGUCAAAAUGGGCUUAUAGGCUGGUUUAAAAGAAAUCAUAGGCAAGAUUAAUCUUCAAACGAUCCCAUCCUAAAACUAUAGGGAUCCUUUCAGUUUUCCCUGAGACAUGGCUACAUGGAAUUGAGGAGAUACCUGAUUGAAAUUGGGGUUCUAAUAACCAAAAGAGUGGAGAAAUGAAUGCUAAGUAGGUUACAAAUAAUAUCUACUACUUGGUUGUGGCAUCGUAAUUGGACCCUGAAGAAAUACAGAGAGAAAUAAGAGCCCCUGUGGCCAACAUGCUCUGACCAGCAUGAGUUUCUAAAACACAGAUUGAGGACCAAGUAAGAGGAAAAUGAGAUUGCCCAUCUUUUGGCCUGAGGCUAAAAUAAUUAAUAUAAUUCCUUACUGAGAGGAUACUCUAGUUUGGCUCAUUCAACAUCAUUUCCAUCCCUCUUUUCCUGUUCUAUAGAGAUUGGAAAGUAAUGUCCUUGAUUUCACAGCCUCUUUAAUAGCUUAGGUUGUCCAGAGCAGAGUUCUGGCCAAUGAGAUCUAGGAAGCAGCCUGCUUUCUAGGAAAUGUGUCAAAUUUGGGUAUACUGUUUAGGAGUGCAGUAUCUGCCUUGAAACCAG